This 245-nucleotide ribosomal RNA is filed under the name uncultured Treponema sp. RNAcentral describes it as "partial 16S ribosomal RNA". It matches the Rfam family "Bacterial small subunit ribosomal RNA", at positions 524 to 768 of the family's 1533-position model. The record is from RNAcentral. Lineage: Bacteria; Pseudomonadati; Spirochaetota; Spirochaetia; Treponematales; Treponemataceae.
CACGUAAGAUGCUAGCGUUGUUCGGAAUUAUUGGGCGUAAAGGGCAUGUAGGCGGUUAUUCAAGUCUGGUGUGAAAUCUCGGAGCUUAACUCCGAAACUGCAUUGGAAACUAGAUAACUAGAAUUGCUGAGGGGAAGCCGGAAUUCCAGGUGUAGGGGUGAAAUCUGUAGAGAUCUGGAAGAACACCAAUGGCGAAGGCAGGCUUCUAGCAGAUAAUUGACGCUGAGGUGCGAAGGGACGGGGAG